This 10303-nucleotide long non-coding RNA is filed under the name Coffea arabica (coffee). RNAcentral's name for it is "long non-coding RNA (CARA_LNC001453)". Lineage: Eukaryota; Viridiplantae; Streptophyta; Magnoliopsida; Gentianales; Rubiaceae. The record is from RNAcentral.
UUUUUUUUUUUUUUUUUUUUGUAAAUGCACUAAAAUUGUCUGGCUCAAUUCUAAAUCAAGAAACUAUUUGUAUAUGCUCAAUUGCGGUGGUUCAACAAUGUAAAACUUUCGUUGCUUGGAGUCUCAACUGUGUCGUGACAAAAAGAGUGGGGAAAAUGAAAGGUAAAGUUUGGUGAACCCUUUUCUUUUUUCUUUUUAAUUAUAUUUUGGCUGAAUGGAAAAGGCGUGGUCCGCCCUCUAGACCAGCCCUUUUUGAAAAGCAUGACCUUGGAGCAAUCAUGGAGAGGAUCAUUUGACGGCAUGGUGGUGGCUGGUUGGUAACGUUAGCAAUUAGCAUCCACAACAGCUCAAUUUGGUGAGCAGUGGAUUAAUUCGAUUCAAUCAUUUUAUAUUCAUAUAAAAAUAAAUUUAUAUUUAAACUCAAAUUUUAGUAGGUGUUAAAUAUAUAUAUUUAAAUUUCUUAUCAGUCUAAUAAUAAUAAAAUGCUGUUAUUUGAUGUCAAACAAUAUGGAAAAAUAUAUAUAUAAAAACAAGUAGAAUUUCAAUUGACUCAUAGAUUUUUUUUUUUUUUAUUAAACGGUAAUAUCUACUCUACUCCUAUUCAUAUUUUAACCUAUGCUAGAGGGAGGGGAUGCCCAACUGAACUAAUUGGAAAAUGACAGAAAUUAAACUACGAUCGAACUAGAUGAGUGCACUAUGCAAUUGUAUGCAUUUUGAAGAAGCCACAUAUAGUGGCACAAUGAUGAUGAGAGGCAAAAUUUAAACUCUUGACCUCCCACCCCACCAAAACUUAAAAUCUUUAGUGGUGGCCAACAGCAAAAAGGGCCAUUGGUUGAGUCAUAGAUUUGUAAUUGGAUGUACUCAUACACACACGCAUUUUUUAAAUGGAUAUAAAUGAGUUGGUUUAUUUUGACCCAUUUAUUAAAUUUGUAUAAAUGGAUUAAUAAAAUUAUAUCCAUUAUUACUCAACUAUGAUCCGUUUGAACCACCCAUUUUGACACUUCUAAGCUGGUAACCACUGCACGAAAUUGCUGCUACAAAUGUGAUAAUACUAGUAGUAAAAAUUCAUCUAAGCCAUCAAAUAAAGAAAGAAAAACCAGUGGGUUUUGUAGUUAGUAGUAAUUCAGAAUAGCUAAAUGUCAUUUUAAGCUAACCUACUGAUUAAAUUGAAGUCCCCAUAACAUAAAGAAAGAAAGAAAGAAAGACUUUUGACAGUUUGACCCACUGUCAUAUUGGGGUUUAGCAUCCGUCAAGCUAACCCCCCCCCCCCACCCCACCCCACGGGGGGCGGCUCUGCUUUGAUACUUGAUACCUAUAUUACGUCAAAAUGAUGAUACUAAUUUGUAUCAGCAGUGAGAGCUUUUAGUCAAACAAUCAAGUGUAGUAGUUUGUAUGAAUGAGAUAAUCACAACUAGCACAAGACAGAAGAGUUUUUCUUGCUUCCUAUUACUAACUCCCUCCUCUCCCUCUUAAUAAGAAUCUAUCAGAAACAGUAAUAAUAGAAACAUGGAGAGGACCCACAAACAAUUCGAGCAAGUCAAGCGCAGUCUGAUUAUUUCACCGAUCUGCUUCCAAAUUGUGGGACUCGACUCGCAAAAUCCAAACUCCUACCGUGAUUGGGGAGACAGUCCUCAUACAAUGCUAACUAACUCGUAAUUUAAUUCAAUCAGUGCCGCAAAUGGUGGUGAUGGAAGUGAAGGGUCCCACCCCUCUUAUCCUAGAACGGCUACUACUGGAAUUCAAUUCACACCGCACCCAUUGAUUUUGAUCUACUAUUGCUUGCUGCUUGAUGCUCUCCAUCUGGCCCAGAGCCCAAUUACCAAGUCUACCGGAUGGACUCUAAAACACAUCUACUCUGGAUUUUGGGCCGCAGAAGGACUUACUCAAAGUCUACGACCAUAUAUUUGGGCUUCUCCCCUCUCGGUAACAGCCAGUCGGGUAUUGGGUUUAUGGCGCUCGUUUUAGCUUUGCUUGGCUUUAUUGUAGCAUUUUCCGAGCAACGCUAUAAAGUGGGCUUCUUCGCUUUUUCUCUUGUUCACUGAUAACUUCCAUCCCCUAGAAAAAACUUUUUUUUUUAAUAGGAGAAGGCGAGAUUUAAAAUGAUAAGAAGUGAAAGAGAAAAAUUUGAAUUUUUAAGAUCUCUAAUUAUUGAAAUCUCGAUCUUAGUAACCAAACCAAAUUUAAUUACGUAUAAAAUUAUUCAAAGGAAACAAAAUCUUAAACAUCAAUUUAAUCAUCUAGUUGAAGCUCGUGAGUCAUCGGGAAACAAAAUCUGAAAUUCCCAAUUCACAUUUAAGGCUUUUAUAAGAACUUAGGAACGGUGUGUAAAUCUCUCGAAGUGUAAGAAAUUGAGAGACACAAACAAAGCGUGAUUUAUCCAAAUUAGAGUCCUUUUGAAUUACAAUUUUUUGAAAAAAUUAGUGUAGUAUAUGAGAUUAAAUGGUAAUUAAAAAUAUAUAAAAUGAAUAUUCACUUAAAAUUUUAAAAAAAAAAAAUUCCCCAAAAUUUAGCAAUCCGCCCUGGCUCUGAAGACUGAAGAGGGUAGCGUACACCGUACAGUGUGGAUGUGUGGGUGGAAAAAAACCUUCAACGGUUUCAGAUAGCGGCCGCCGCAUUCCGAUACCCGGACUUCGAUGCUUAUUAACUGCGAGAUUAGACGUGGGUAGUAUAAUUAGUUAGCAGUGUGUUAUGGCCAAUUUUCAAGAAAUGACGGCUCAGAUUAGAGGAAUUAAUCAAUUAAUGCAUAUUUCGAAGGGAGGUUGUACUGGAUAAGCACGAUUUCCCUCCUCAUUUAACUCCAUCCGCCUCGUUAAUUGUUGUGUAACCUACUCCUUAAAUGAUCCAACAAUUUUGGAAUUCAUGCAUUAAUCUCAUACAUCAGGUAAGGUUAAUAUGCAUGAUAAGCCACUCAUCCAUCUAUUCUCAGCUUUAACCAAUUCUAUCUUCUUCUCUAUUUUUUUUCCCCCUGGUUUUACUGUUGACAAUCUGGAAAUUCUUUUCGAAUUGAAUAUUUUAAAGGGAAAACAUUUACAUAGACAUGGUCGCUUUAAUUUAGACGGACCACGGGUUGGACUUUUGACCAUGCAAAGACAUGCAUAUUGAUGCUUUUUUUUUUGUUUUUAAAUUCAAAGAUAUUUAUGGAUAAAAAAAACCAUUAAUCUUAUUCAAAAAAUGCAAAGAACAUACUGGAUUUAUUUGGAUUGAGAUGAUUUCAGAUAAAAUAAUUUAUUUCACUAAUUCUAAUCAUCUUUUUAUCUUCUCGAUCACCAACUGUCUACUGAUCGGCUGGAAUGCAUAGUUAGACAUCUGAGCCGUCUUUUUUUCUUCUUUUUUUUUUUUGGCUUGUAAAAUUUAGAGUUGAACAGAGUCAAAAAUCUAUUUUUUUUUUUAAAUUAAAAUGUAGUAGUAGACUAGUAGUAAUAAUGUACAUGCACUUUUUGGAAUGUACUUGGGAGUUUGGCAUGUAUGUUCAUUCGUGUUUAACAUUAUAAAGCAUUAAAGAGACAUUGCAUGAUGCAGCCCCUUCUGUAAUUGGUAAUUGGUAAUUGUUCACCAUUAAUGCCUUAUUUAAGUUGAUUCCAUAAUAUCCCUCCUGUAACUCCCAUGAUCAUCUGCACGAACUCCAAUUUUUCUCCACCACAAUUUAUACGUACCAUGUUAGCUACUUCUUCAGCUUUUCCCCCAGCCCUGCUAGCAUUCCCUUGCGCAGAAUGAAUCCCCCAGCCCUCAGCGUGGUAUACCAGCUGGAGAACCUCCUUGCAUCUGAUGGAUCUUUAUAUUUCGAAGAACAACCACCUUCAGGGUACGUAAGACUGAGGAUGGAUGUCACAAAAAUUAUGAAUCUACUAGCUAUUUUGAUCGAUGUGUCUAGCUAUUUUACUUGUUGACGUAAUUUUUCACGAUCUUCUUAAUAUAUAUGCAUUUCUUGCUUUCUUGCAGAGCAUGGGAACAGUCAUACCUUGCGUUUCCUGAAAGCCUGGGCCAAUGUCCAUCGGGCAUAUGUAACUGUAAAGAGCCAUUCCAUGCUUGGAAAUGGAAGAAUAAUAGCAUUCCAUGCUUGGAAAUGGAAUUCAAGGAUUUUGAAGACAUUUGUGGGGAUUUUGGGUGGCACUCACCGCCAGACGUCAAAGAACCAUUUUUUGAGGGAGACGUCAAUGUUGUCGAUGCUAAACCGCUGAAUGCAGCUGGAGAGAUACGUGAUCAAGCGCUGCUCGAGAAUGGUGAGACUGUUUUUGCCGAAGCAUCUGGAGGAAAUGCGGUGUGCUCGAGAUCGUCAGAGCCCUUGGUUUCGGACGACGGGUUGGUAAGUGGGAGGUACAAGUCAUCGGCGCUUGAGGUGGAUGAGAUUCAAAAGUACUUUGAUGUUCCAAUUACAAAAGCAGCUAAGGAAUUGAAGGUUGGCCUCACUGUCCUGAAGAAGCGAUGCAGGGAACUCAACAUCAGGCGCUGGCCACACAGGAAAAUCAAGAGCUUGAAGUCGUUGAUUGACAGUGCUAAGGUACCAUCCAGGCUAGCUGCAUGCAGUACUCCAUCCUGAUUAGUACUGAAUCCUGAACACUGAAUGGAUAAAGGAAUUUAUUUAUUUUUUUUUAAAGAAAAACAGAGGACGGAAUAAAAGUUCCUCUCGUUAAUUCCUCCUCCUCACCUUCUAAUAAAACAACCCAGAAAACAGUAUGGAAACUGUAGUAUGGUUAAGUAUUCAAACGGGAAUUACUGAAGUUUUAAAGAAUGUUGCAGUAACCUUUUGAAUUCUUGUAGGAGUUGGGAUUGACAAGUGAGAUUGAAAUGCUGGAAGAGCACAAAAGAAUGUUAAAGGUGCUUCCCGAGAUGGAACUGACUGAAAGAACCAAGAAACUCAGACAAGCAUGCUUCAAAGCCAAUUACAAGAAAAGAAGGGCAAUGGCUGCUGCUGCCAUGGCUUGACUCUACCCGUGAUUUUUAGUUUCCUUUAGAUUUCAGAACGUAGGAUUUAUCUUUUAGAUUUUGGAUCUUAGUUUCCCUUUAGAUUUUCGAAUGUAGGAUUUGGUUCAGUUUGUCUUUUGAAUUGAAUAUUCCGAAUUAGCUUUUUAUUCAUAUUGCUUGCUUGCUUGCUUGGGACAUUCUGGUUGAAUUCCUUGUUCCUCCUCUUGACAUGGAUAUGAACUGCACAAGGUCCAGUAAGUAAAACCAUCGUUUCUUACCAAAGAAAAAAAAUACCAUCAUUGAUCUCCUGAUGCACAAACAGGACAUCGAUCUAGAAAUUAAAAUGCUAGUACUGGAUGAAUGUAGAGGUUCAGGUUCAGUGAACAAUUCAUAUAUCCAGCCAUAUAUGUACUCGAAUAUAUAUCAUGUUUGUGCAUGAAGAGAGAUUAGAUUUUUCUGGUUAAUUCCUCAUCUUGUUCGUAGUUUGUACACGUGCAUGAAUAUAGCCAAUAGACACGUAUACGGCCCAAGAUAUGCAAUGAUUUAAGUUAGUAUACGGUCCAAUAGACACGUAUACGGUCCAAGUUAGUUUGGGCUUACUCUUAGAUUGAGCAAGUACUUGAGGUAGGAUUGGAUUGGGCUUAGUCUUAAAUUAGCUUGGAGAGAAGAAAAUUUCCAUUGGUUUCUUCUUCUUCUUUCUUUGCGCUGUUCAAAUCGUGCCAUCCGGUUAAACACGUCAGAGAAUAGGAUAUGGAUACAUUUCAUGGAACUCUCAAGAAGUUCAUGUGCAAGUCAUACUGUCGUAGUAGACUAAUAAAAGGACAAAAGUACAUUUUUGAGUCAGGUAUGGAGAGGAUUAAUAUACAUACAUAUGGAGGGUGGGCAGCAUCCAUCCAUGAUAGUGUCAGCAAUUUUGAUAUGCGAUUUUGUUUGAUUGUACUAGAUACAAAAAUCCUGCUACAUGGGAACAAAAAUAUGAAUUUUUAGUUUUUCCCCAUAAUCAGGAUCAAGAAAUCCGAUGAGGACGUGAAAUUAAUGGUGGCCUUUCGGUAGAGAUAUAGUAGGUGAAGUUAAGGAACCCCAAACGGCACAGGCAGGUUGCAUAUUCCAUUUCCUUCUCUUUGGACAGAGUACUGAAGCCAGCUGCCGGAGAUUCCCAUUUGAUUUCAGCCGACUGUUUGAUCCUUCUUUUGUCCUUGUCUUCGUCUCCACGGGAGCACUUGCUUGAAGCUCCCAUAAAUGCCGGCCUACAGCGGUAUUCUACUGAAUUAGAUCCAAUAUUGUUUUCUUUAAUUAACAAUUAGCUAGACGUAAAAAUACACACAACGUUAUACUUCUAGACGAUGUCCCAGUAUAUUAAACAGGAGGGAUUCAUGUAAAUUAGCAAAAAUAAAGUAGAAAAUCAGAAGCAAGAAUUUUUAGUUUCCAAAUGUAGAUCAAAGAUCAACUAGCAGGGAAGUUAACAGUUGAUCACAAGGAAACUAAAAUGGAUUGUAUAUAAUAUGUUGAAGAGGGUUGACAGACACUUACGAUGAGGUUGGAGCUGGCAUGAGAGAAACUCGAGAAGCUGCUUCUCCUCUUGAUUGUCCCACGACUUGUUGAAGCGAAAGAAGUACAACCAAAACUGUGAUCAUAUCCAGCAGAGAAGGAGAAACUGCCAUCAUUGGUAGUAGCGUUGUUCUCCUUGUAGCUCCCCCAUUUCCAAGAAGCGAAUCUCUCCUUAUCAUUGAUCACCUUUCUUUUCCCAACAACUUCAUCAAUGGCAUCAUGACGAUGUUGUCGGUACUUAUUGACAUCUCUAAAAAUUUCAUCCUCCAGGCUCCUGAAAGACCCUCUAGUUUUAGGCAAAGAAAAUGCGGAGCUGCGAGAGAAGGAUGGGCCGCCAGCGCCAUGAGGAUAAGGCCCGUCGAGCACCGUCGUGGGAGAAGAAUCGUUCGUGACUGGAAAUAGUUGUUUACUAGGAGGAUGAUGGAUGAUAUUGUGAGGAGCAGUACUAGUAUUAUUCUUGUUAUUCAACAGCCGGGGCGGGAGGUCUAGACAUCUGGCUACAGAAGAAUUCUUGUCUUUAACGGCGGCGGCCGGGGAAGACGUGGGUCUGAAAUCGGGUCUGAGCUUCCCCGGCACCUCCUCCCAUUGGAAUGGAAUUGAUGCUGCUGAAGUAGUGACGGGUGGAGUGAACAUCACUGGUGGCGGCUGUCUUUGCUUGCUUGGGAGUUUAUACAAGGAAAGCUUUGGAGUACUGGUUGGACUUGCUGCUUCAUUUUCGGUCUCCAAAUCCAAACUGAUCAUCUAUCUGCAGCAAAUGUUUUACUGGAUUCCUCCUCGAUCGUCUCUCUAAAUUUCUUGACCUUCUUAUGCAUUCAGAUUGGGGGGGAGGGGGAGAGGGUGCCUGAAAACUGAAAUGUGGAAUGCGAGGGAGAGACAGAGAGAGAGAGAGAGAUUUAGCUGGGAAGCGGGCAGGUCUAAAACGCUCCAGGCGCUUCUUAUUCACGAGUUAUUUAUUUUCAAUGAAAGAAACGGACGGAAAAGUUUCCAAUUAAAAGCCAAAUUGACUGAAUGCAAGAGGAGCUGGGUGAAUUGACAAACCAAACUAUCAUACAGAAGGCACAACAACAGACGAUCUUGAAUUAGUCAGCAGCCACACUCCGCUGUAGCAAUGCAACGGUCACAGACUACUACUAGUACUACUAGUCUACGAGAGAGAGUAUAAUAAGGAAUUUUACGACCAAAACAUAUAUAGAUGAAGAGACAAUACGAGACCAAAACAUAUAUAGAUGAAGAGACAAUGCGAGCCCCCGCGGGUUGCUCGGACGGGGUUCGAGCCCGUUGUUGACUUGUUUGGUGUGGAAUGGGGCCUCCUCUCCCGGACAGUAGUGGGCUCUGUUUUCAAACUCGGGCCGGAUCGGCGGUCGAACCGGGAACCGGUCAGGUAGCCGGUCCGAGUCACAUUAAAAAACCGGAAAUUUAAGACCCGAUCAAAGCCGGUCAAAAAUCGGGUUUGACCGGGUUUGACCCGGUUUGACCGGGAAAAAACCGGUUUUUCCGGUUCAACACUAAUUUUUUAAAAAAAAAUUCAAACGUUUUAAUAUUAUGUUUUGGCCCCCUAAAUUGUUAAAACUUAUUGAUAUACCUCAAAUAUUUGAUACUUUAUAAAUAUUGUCCUAAAAUUUGAUGUUAUUUUUCAAUUAAAUUCAUAAUUUUAAUUCUAAACUUGUUAAUAUUUAUUAAAUAAUAUAAAUUGCUACUUGAUUGUUCUAAUUUCUUUGUAUUUUUUUGUUAAAUAUAUUUGAAACAUCAAAUAUAUAUGAAUAUACCUUUAUUAAUAUCAAUAUAUUAUUAGAUAUUAUAUAUAUAAUAUUUUAAUUUUUAAAUAAUUUUUAUUUAUGACGUCAUCCGGUUCGACCCCUAUCGACUCCCGGUCGAACCCAUUGACCCCUGACCCCUGACCUCGGCCGAGUCGCUAUCCGGUCCGGUUCUGAAAACAUAGGUAGUGGGGAUUAGUCGGGACCCCGCAAAAAUUGAUCCAGAUACCCCUGUGUUGACAAAAAAAAAAAAAAAAAAGACAACACGAAGUAGACUAUUAUUGUUUGUUACUUGAGACAUCCAAACGAGGGUUGCCAACGUAUGACAAUUUGGCCGGCAUUGAUUGAUUUCUGGCUUCUUUUGCAUGAAUGGGAUGUGUGAAGGCUUGUGAUUUGCAUCAUUUACAACUACCCGUGCCUAUGCGUGAGUUGACGCUGCUGAUUGCUUUAUUCCAAAAAUUUGAAGAAAAAAAAAAAAAAAGGCAGCUUCAUCAAACCCAACUGCGGGGAGGACUCGGUCCAAAGACAGGACCCAGAGAUCGCUGAUAAACCAAUUCCUACGACAACACAAUUUAUGAUGUUUUUGGUACAACGAUAAUUCCUCUUUGUAUUGUUGCGAUUAUACAAUAGUAGUAACAAAUUAAACUGCAUGCCUCGACAAAUUUACCACCGAUUCCGCUGCGGAGUAUGUGUUAUUAAUUCAAUCUGACGGGGCAGAGGGAUUGAAAGUGGAAGUGCUACAAUCACGUUAAUACAAGUCUCUAUUUUGAAGAGGGAACAUGACAAGAGCUCAGAUAUCCAUUCAAAGUGACAGAAGAAACAUGACAAGAGUUUUUGUUGUUUUUCCAUCCAUCAGAAUCAAACUACUGUUUGCUUUGAGCCCUCAGAUGAAGCUGCCCACUGGCUUUCAUUUAUGCAUUGGACAGCAACCAUUCCUCAUCCUCCCUAAUCAUUGCCACCCUACAUGGUUUAACAACAAUAACAAACUACAGUGUAUCACUCCAGUGCCUUGUUGAAUUUUCAACUCGCUGGAGCCUAGCUCCAUGCUUGAUAACACUUUGAAUCCACUAAGACUCCAGACAUACCCCGAGAAAAAAGGAAACACGAUCCACCAGCAUGUGAUGUAAGUCCCAAGAAUGAAUGAUCCCAUCCCAGUUAAUGCAAUCACACAAUCAAUCUUGCAUCUCAUCUCCAUACCUCUCCUUUUAUUAUUAAGCACUACCAAAGGAGGAGAUCCUCUUGCUGACCAUGACUCUUUGUGCCAUGACUUUUAGCAGUAAAAUUUCCACCCCAAAAAAAAAUAAAAAAUCAUUUGACUAAGUACCUGAUUCAGAUUAUAUCGUACGGUUGCUUCAUAUCCAAAUCAAUAUAAUCAGCAGACAUGACCAGCCUGAUCUUGCACUAAAGAUUGAAAGGAAGUAUGUAACAGGAGUGAAUUUGUUCAACUUCACUACCAUGGAGACAAUGUCGUCACCUGCAGUUGUCCGUAUUACAUGGAAGGUUGCUUCUCCCUUUCACUGCAACAGAACUUUCUUCCAUGGGUUGGUAGAAAGGAAGACCAGGCCUGAAAAAAUAACAGUCAGCAAAGUGAAAGCAGAAAAGACCAUGCCUCAACAAAUUUACAUGCACCAAUGUUGUUAACCAAAUAAGAUUACAGAAUCAGACAAAAAUGGCUGUAAACACUUCCCAAGAUUCUGCAAAUGCUGCUCCUGAUGAGAAAUAUAUUGAGGCAACCAGCAUGCAAAGUGUGAAAUUCUCAAUCACUAACUGCAAGAGUUUAGUAGUUGGUACUUGCUUUUCAGUGGCUUUCUCAUAGAGUUGCUAGCUGGGUUCAACUUAUAAUUUGGCUCAAUGGGGUAGAGGAGAUACAAUACCAAGAAAUUUGUAUUUCACGUAGUGAUUUCUGUACAGAUUUGCUCAGCAGUGCUAAAUUCGGAAAAAGACACUAAAAAAGAAAGAAGUAAGAAAAAACUUUAAGAACUUUCCUAAAACUCUCCUUCACUACUUUUUAAAGUGUAUGAUACCAUCACAAGCAAGAGUGCCUUCUAGAUCUCCAAUAAUUCGAGAUAUCCUAAUUUCAAGACCUCUUUGGACUUCUC